RNAcentral lists this ribosomal RNA (612 nucleotides) under Nitrososphaerota archaeon. RNAcentral's name for it is "bacterial SSU rRNA". It matches the Rfam family "Archaeal small subunit ribosomal RNA", at positions 88 to 702 of the family's 1478-position model. Lineage: Archaea; Thermoproteati; Nitrososphaerota. The record is from RNAcentral.
GCUCAGUAACACGUGGUCAAGCUAACCUAUGGACGUGGAUAACCUCGGGAAACUGAGAAUAAACCGCGAUAGAUCAUGAUGCCUGGAAUGGCUCAUGGUCGAAAUAGUUUACUGCCGUAGGAUGCGACUGCGGCCUAUCAGUUUGUUGGUGAGGUAAUGGCCCACCAAGACUAUUACAGGUACGGGCUCUGAGAGGAGAAGCCCGGAGAUGGGUACUGAGACACGGACCCAGGCCCUAUGGGGCGCAGCAGGCGAGAAACCUUAGCAAUGUGCGAAAGCACGACUGGGUUAGUCCGAGUGAUUCCUGCUAAAGGAAUCUUUUGCCGGUCCUAAAAGCACCGGUGAAUAAGGGGUGGGCAAGUCUGGUGUCAGCCGCCGCGGUAAUACCAGCACCUCGAGUGAUCAGGACGUUUAUUGGGCCUAAAGCAUCCGUAGCUGGCUUUGCAAGUCUCCGGUUAAAUCAACCUGCUCAACAGAUUGGCCGCUGGAGAUACUACAAAGCUAGGGAGUGGGAGAGGCAGACGGUAUUCAGUGGGUAGGGGUAAAAUCCUCUGAUCCAUUGAGGACCACCAGUGGCGAAGGCGGUCUGCCAGAACACGUUCGACGGUGAGG